CUUUAAAAUCCUUUCAACCUUUAUUUCUGUUUUUAUGCGUGUCGUAUCGGUUAUCAUGUAGUACACAAGAUCUCAAGUACAAGAUCGCUCUAGGGACGGUCACUAAUGUUGAUGAAGUCGUCCGGUGGAAGAUGUCCGGUACCUGUUCGUCCAAUCCACUCACUUACAGGAUCAGUCACGAGGCCCAUCAGGUUGGGGACGAGGAGCUGGAGGAACUGGAGAAGAUGUGUCAUAUCUGUUAGCUGAUAUCUGACCUCUCUUAUGUAGCGCAGGUGAAACACAAACAAAGAAAGUAGAUGUUAUUUUAUUCGUCCCAAAAAUGGUGUACACAUUUCUAAAUGAGUUGAAGCCUGGGAAGGAGACGCCCACUGCUGUGAUUGGCUAACAGUUACUCACACUGUGCUGUUGAAUCCAAUAUAGACAGCACAACAUCGUCCUUUACUUUCACUAUUUCUGAAAAUCCUGCGUUGGAUUGUGCCAUGUUUCUAAACAAAUCCACAAUAAAAUGAAGUGAACAAAGGACAAAGUUCUUACUGACGUGGUCUAGAACGUCAUUAAAAAUAAAGUUCAUCCUCUCCUUGCUAAUGUUGGGAUCAGAAGGAAGGCAAUGCAAAGACUGUUUUAUACUCAACUUGACGUGGCACAGCAUCUUGGUUUCAGAGCAUCUUUAUUGUUUGGUUUCUCUCUUGUGGGUGGGGCUAAACAGGCAGCGAUGUAGAAGCAGGCGUUGAUCUUCAUCUGCGGAGUCAGUGUUUAUCCAGACUUUUACAUCAUAGAGUAGAACACGCCACAAGCUGAUGUUUUGGCAGGCUGGCUUCAAUAUAUAUGUUUAUUAGACCAACAAGAAAGUUUUGAUUGGAUGUUUUUAUAGUACAAUGACUUUUUAUACGUGAA
This is a long non-coding RNA of Carassius auratus (goldfish), 894 nucleotides long. RefSeq lists it as uncharacterized. The transcript has 3 exons. The record is from RefSeq and is a predicted model, not a curated record. Lineage: Eukaryota; Metazoa; Chordata; Actinopteri; Cypriniformes; Cyprinidae.